AUUAAACGCUGGCGGCAUGCCUUACACAUGCAAGUCGAACGGCAGCACGGGGGGAACCCUGGUGGCGAGUGGCGAACGGGUGAGUAAAGCAUCGGAACGUGCCCUGGAGUGGGGGAUAACGUAGCGAAAGCUACGCUAAUACCGCAUAUUCUGUGAGCAGGAAAGCAGGGGAUCGCAAGACCUUGCGCUCUGGGAGCGGCCGAUGUCGGAUUAGCUAGUUGGUGGGGUAAAGGCCUACCAAGGCGACGAUCCGUAGCGGGUCUGAGAGGAUGAUCCGCCACACUGGGACUGAGACACGGCCCAGACUCCUACGGGAGGCAGCAGUGGGGAAUUUUGGACAAUGGGCGAAAGCCUGAUCCAGCCAUGCCGCGUGAGUGAAGAAGGCC
Molecule: ribosomal RNA, 386 nt
Filed under: uncultured bacterium
Lineage: Bacteria
Description: bacterial SSU rRNA
Rfam family: Bacterial small subunit ribosomal RNA
Source: RNAcentral